RNAcentral lists this unclassified non-coding RNA (342 nucleotides) under soil metagenome. RNAcentral's name for it is "partial contains 5.8S ribosomal RNA, internal transcribed spacer 2, and large subunit ribosomal RNA". The stretch from base 1 to 120 matches the Rfam family "5.8S ribosomal RNA", at positions 35 to 154 of the family's 154-position model. The record is from RNAcentral.
GAUGAAGAACGUAGCGAAAUGCGAUAAGUAAUGCGAAUUGCAGAAUUCCGUGAGUCAUCGAAUCUUUGAACGCACAUUGCGCCCGCCAGCACUCUGGCGGGCAUGCCUGUUCGAGCGUCAUUUCAACCAUCAAGCCCCCAGGGGCUUGUGCUGGGGCCCUGCGGCUGCCCGCAGGCCCUGAAAACCAGUGGCGGGCUCGCUAGUCACACCGAGCGCAGUAGCACAUCUCGCUCAGGGCGUGCGGCGGGCUCCUGCCGUGAAACCCCCCACUGUAACCCCAAAGGUUGACCUCGGAUCAGGUAGGAAUACCCGCUGAACUUAAGCAUAUCAAUAAGCGGAGGA